This 434-nucleotide long non-coding RNA is filed under the name Cicer arietinum (chickpea). Its description in RNAcentral is "long non-coding RNA (CARI_LNC002060)". The record is from RNAcentral. Lineage: Eukaryota; Viridiplantae; Streptophyta; Magnoliopsida; Fabales; Fabaceae.
GAAAAAAUGAUGUGAUUGCAAAAGGUAAAAAAAAUCUCAACAAUUCACUAACUGAUAAUCAUUUUAUUGGUAUAAAAUCAAAGACAUAAUUACUUUAUUGCAGUGAGGCGAAUGACGGGAGAUUUCCAAGUGGGCAGAGAUGCGGCAGGGAGUGGUGGUGCGGGAUAUCUGAAUCAACGUUUAGCACCAAUUGAAGGCAUUGUUUAAUCGAGGAAAGUUUGAGUGUGAGAUUGUAAUUGGCAGAUGAGUUUUGUAGUUGAGUGGAGUGGAAAAACAUUGGCAAGUUGAUUUCAUUUUCCCGCGCCAUAGUUUUAUUCGUGAAAUGGUGUUGGUUUGCACCGUUUACUAAUUUUCUUAUUAAUGAAAACAAUUAAAAUUAAAUGAGACGCAAUCAUAUUUUUUUAAAUAUAGUGGUUGUGGUUUACUCAUUUCUU